GACGAACGCUGGCGGCGUGCUUAACACAUGCAAGUCGAACGGGAGAGGAUGAGGAAAUGCUUCGGCAUGGAGACAUCCGAUCUAGUGGCGGACGGGUGAGUAACGCGUGAGCAACCUGUCCUGCACAGGGGGAUAACACUGAGAAAUCAGUGCUAAUACCGCAUGAGACCACAGUAUCACAUGGUACAGGGGUCAAAGGAGAAAUCCGGUGCAGGGUGGGCUCGCGUCCCAUUAGCUAGUUGGUAGGGUAAAGGCCUACCAAGGCGACGAUGGGUAGCCGGACUGAGAGGUUGGCCGGCCACACUGGGACUGAGACACGGCCCAGACUCCUACGGGAGGCAGCAGUGGGGAAUAUUGGGCAAUGGGCGAAAGCCUGACCCAGCAACGCCGCGUGAAGGAAGAAGGUCUUUGGAUUGUAAACUU
This 423-nucleotide ribosomal RNA is filed under the name uncultured bacterium. RNAcentral describes it as "bacterial SSU rRNA". It matches the Rfam family "Bacterial small subunit ribosomal RNA", at positions 28 to 432 of the family's 1533-position model. The record is from RNAcentral.